GACGAACGCUGGCGGCGUGCUUAACACAUGCAAGUCGAACGAAGUGGCGAACGGGUGAGUAACGCGUAAUCAACCUGCCCUUCAGUGGGGGACAACAGUUGGAAACGACUGCUAAUACCGCACACUGAAGGAGGCGAUUGCGUCUGAUUAGCGAGUUGGAGGGGUAACGGCCAACCAAGGCGAUGAUCAGUAGCCGGUCUGAGAGGAUGAACGGCCACAUUGGGGCUGAGACACGGCCCAGACUCCUACGGGAGGCAGCAGUGGGGAAUCUUUCGCAAUGGACGAAAGUCUGACGGAGCAACGCCGCGUGAGUGAUGACGGCCUUCGGGUUGUAAAGCUCUGUUAAUCGGGACGCGGUACCGGAAUAGAAAGCCACGGCUAACUACGUGCCAGCCGCCGCGGUAAUAC
This 408-nucleotide ribosomal RNA is filed under the name uncultured bacterium. RNAcentral's name for it is "partial 16S ribosomal RNA". It matches the Rfam family "Bacterial small subunit ribosomal RNA", at positions 28 to 526 of the family's 1533-position model. The record is from RNAcentral.